UACGAAGGGUGCAAGCGUUACUCGGAAUUACUGGGCGUAAAGCGUGCGUAGGUGGUUGUUUAAGUCUGUUGUGAAAGCCCCGGGCUCAACCUGGGAAUGGCGAUGGAUACUGGCUCGCUAGAGUGCGGUAGAGGAGAGUGGAAUUCCCGGUGUAGCAGUGAAAUGCGUAGAGAUCGGGAGGAACAUCAGUUGCGAAGGCGGCUCUCUGGACCAGCACUGACACUGAGGCACGAAAGCGUGGGGAGCAAACAGG
This 253-nucleotide ribosomal RNA is filed under the name uncultured bacterium. RNAcentral describes it as "partial 16S ribosomal RNA". It matches the Rfam family "Bacterial small subunit ribosomal RNA", at positions 524 to 776 of the family's 1533-position model. The record is from RNAcentral.